CCUACGGGCGGCAGCAGUGGGGAAUUUUGGACAAUGGGCGCAAGCCUGAUCCAGCAAUGCCGCGUGCAGGAUGAAGGCCUUCGGGUUGUAAACUGCUUUUGUACGGAACGAAAAGGCUCUGGCUAAUACCUGGGGCUGAUGACGGUACCGUAAGAAUAAGCACCGGCUAACUACGUGCCAGCAGCCGCGGUAAUACGUAGGGUGCGAGCGUUAAUCGGAAUUACUGGGCGUAAAGCGUGCGCAGGCGGUUUUGUAAGACGGGGGUGAAAUCCCCGGGCUAAACCUGGGAACGGCGUUUGUGACUGCAAGGCGGGAGUGCGGCAGAGGGGGGUGGAAUUCCGCGGGUAGCAGUGAAAUGCGUAGAUAUGCGGAGGAACACCGAUGGCGAAGGCAGCCCCCUGGGCCUGUACUGACGCUCAGGCACGAAAGCGUGGGGAGCAAACAGGAUUAGAUACCCGGGUAGU
This 464-nucleotide ribosomal RNA is filed under the name uncultured Comamonadaceae bacterium. Its description in RNAcentral is "partial 16S ribosomal RNA". It matches the Rfam family "Bacterial small subunit ribosomal RNA", at positions 338 to 794 of the family's 1533-position model. The record is from RNAcentral. Lineage: Bacteria; Pseudomonadati; Pseudomonadota; Betaproteobacteria; Burkholderiales; Comamonadaceae.